This 460-nucleotide ribosomal RNA is filed under the name uncultured bacterium. Its description in RNAcentral is "partial 16S ribosomal RNA". It matches the Rfam family "Bacterial small subunit ribosomal RNA", at positions 338 to 795 of the family's 1533-position model. The record is from RNAcentral.
CCUACGGGUGGCAACAGUGAGGAAUAUUGGUCAAUGGGCUUACGCCUGAACCAGCCAAGUCGCGUGAGGGAAGACUGCCCUAUGGGUUGUAAACCUCUUUUGUCAGGGAGCAACGCCGGCUACGUGUAGCCGGACUGAGAGUACCUGAAGAAAAAGCAUCGGCUAACACGGUACCAGCAGCCGCGGUAAUACGGGGGAUGCGAGGGCUAUCCGGAUUGUUUGGGUUAAAGGGUGGCGAAGGCGGAAUGCCAAGUCAGCGGGAAAAUCGCGGGGCUCAACAUCGCUUCGCCGUUGAAACUGGCGUUCUUGAGUGGGCGAGAGGUAUGCGGAAUUCGUGGUGUAGCGGUGAAAUGCAUAGAUAUCACGCAGAACUUCGAAUGCGAAGGCAGCAUACCGGCGCCCAACUGACGCUGAAGCACGAAAGCGUGGGUAUCGAACAGGAUUAGAUACCCCAGUAGUC